Long non-coding RNA from Populus euphratica (Euphrates poplar), 1522 nucleotides. RefSeq lists it as uncharacterized. The record is from RefSeq and is a predicted model, not a curated record. The transcript has 3 exons. NCBI's taxonomy places the organism in Eukaryota, Viridiplantae, Streptophyta, Magnoliopsida, Malpighiales, Salicaceae.
AGCCAGAGGAUACAUUAUAUAAUAUACGCAAAACGACCGAGGCGGCUACCAAGGAAUCAAUGCUAAUCAGGACAAUCAAGGCUGUCCCAGCCACUUAAUCGUUGCGGGUCAGCCUUUUUGGGAAGUGUUUGAUAUAGCAGAGUUAAAAAGUUUUUGGUGACUGUUGGUUGGAAGCUACUUGCUUUUGGUUUGCAUGUCUAUGAUGGAGAUUGCUGGAACUCUUGUGGCUUUAGAGAAAUCGCUUUGCCCAUUGAAUCACCUGGCCAUUUGUCAAAUUGAAUACAAGGAAAUGAGAGUGUCCUGUUGUGGAUUCUUCUUGUAACAAGUCCAUGAGACAUGCCUCGUCCCUGAUGCAAAUGAUGUCUUUGCUGGAGAAAAUGAAAUUGUAAUGGGGAAUAUGUUCCCGGAGAUGAUUCAAAAACGCUAUUGAAAGGACCAAUCACCAUUCAGAAAAUCUCCAGUGAUAAAGAGCCACGAUGUUACACAGAAGAUGGAUCGCUAUUGAAGUUGAAUAUAACAAUCACUUACGGACAUGUUUGAUACGGUGAUGGCUUUGGCUGGCCAACUUUCAGCUGUCAGUGUGUAGCUCUUGAAGGUACUUUUAAUCUUCAAAUCAAUGGCUUGUUGAAUAUCAGAAUAAAGCAACAACGCACUUGUCUGCUGAUUGGCUGGACAGUCCAAUACCUUAGCUCCAGCAAAACAAGAACGGGUAGCCUACAGCUGCUGCUGUAUUGCUCUGUUGUUGUUUUGAUGGUCCCUUGCCCUAGCCUCAUAUUCUUUUCUUCACUUCGUUGGUUAUGUUGCUACUACGAUGCACCCAUCCUCCUUUGAAGUGCUUGCUGCCUAGCUGGAUUCUGCUCGUGGAUGGAUAUUGGCUGCGGUUGCCUUGAACGAGGAGAACAUUGCAACAGUGCUGUAUAUAUAUAUAUAUAUAUAUAUAUAUAUCUGCUGAAAUGCUGCCAGUUUUGUUACUGCAGGGUUACUAGCAGCAUUUUUGCUUGUGUUGCUGCAAACCUCGGGGGUUUGUUCUCAACAUGUACUGCUGGCACUUCUACCGAGUCACGAAGUCCCAUUUCUGGUGCAAGGGCCCGGCCAGAGGAGUAAAUGUUUUCCUCCUUUCACUGCGAUUCUGCAUACCAUUGUGCCUGCCAUACUUGAGGUGGAUCCCAGUUUCAGUUAUGUUUCUACUGCAUUGCUACUUUUGAUAUUGGCGUUGCAGUCCUGUUGCCGCAACUGAUGCUGCUGCUGGUUCUGCUGUGUUUCUUUGGCUAGAUCUUCGGGUUGUUUUGCCCUUCUCUUGCAUUUUCAGCAGUGUUUUGAAACCCGGCCUGCCCGGCAGGUCGACCCGGGAUUGGAACCGGACCAGGUUGAUGAAAAAAAUAGGAUAAGCUAUGACCCGGCGUGACCCGUCCGACCUCGCGGGUUGACCCAGAAACCCGGACAACCCAGCAAAAUCCGGUUGCAACCCGUUGAUUUUUGUUUUUUUAAUUAAAAUGAUGUUUUAAUUUUUAAAAAAAAUAGA